GUUUUCUAUUUGUCAUGAAUUUUAAAUACUAUAUAAGUAUUGACCAUUAAUACUGACACAUUAAUACUUUUAUGUACGUCGUGCAUUGUUGCUAUUCACCAUGAAUAAUAUAUA
Molecule: non-coding RNA, 114 nt
Organism: Nomascus leucogenys (northern white-cheeked gibbon)
Lineage: Eukaryota; Metazoa; Chordata; Mammalia; Primates; Hylobatidae
Rfam family: Mitochondrial DNA control region secondary structure A
Source: Rfam